AGAGUUUGAUCAUGGCUCAGAACGAACGCUGGCGGCAGGCCUAACACAUGCAAGUCGAGCGCAUCCUUCGGGGUGAGCGGCGGACGGGUGAGUAACGCGUGGGAACGUGCCCUCUUGCCUGGGAUAACUGCGGGAAACUGCAGCUAAAACCGGAUGAGCCCUACGGGGGAAGGAGAGGAUCGGCCCGCGUCGGAUUAGGUAGUUGGUGGGGUAACGGCCUACCAAGCCUACGAUCCGUACCUGGUUUGAGAGGAUGAUCAGGCACACUGGGACUGAGACACGGCCCAGACUCCUACGGGAGGCAGCAGUGGGGAAUCAUAGACAAUGGGGGAAACCCUGAUCUUGCCAUGCCGCGUGGACGAUGAAGGCCUUAGGGUUGUAAAGUCCUUUCACCGGUGAAGAUAAUGACGGUAGCCGGAGAAGAAGCCCCGGCUAACUCCGUGCCAGCAGCCGCGGUAAUAC
RNAcentral lists this ribosomal RNA (462 nucleotides) under uncultured bacterium. RNAcentral describes it as "bacterial SSU rRNA". It matches the Rfam family "Bacterial small subunit ribosomal RNA", at positions 8 to 526 of the family's 1533-position model. The record is from RNAcentral.